CCUUUUGCUCGCUGGGAGGCUGGCAGUAAAUCAUGUGUUGGCUUUUUUUCCAUUUUACGUCCAGGAGCAGCUACUUUGAUUAGUUUGAAGCAGAAUAAAAGACCUAUAAAUGGGGAGAAUCCUGAAGAUGUCCUGGGAGAGGGGAAUUCGUGCCCUUAGAAUAGCUGCGUGGAUGAAACAGAGGAUGAAAAAGCUUGAACACAAAUGUCUUGAUAAUAAACACAAAUGUGUUUAUUGCCAUCUAUUAAAGUGGGAUUUCUGCAAUUACAGUAAGAUGCUGCCAAGGAAGAAUAUGUGGAAUACAAGUGAAUGCAGUGCUGAUGAGGGUCCCGAAGUCCCACAAGAGGCAAGAAACAUGUGAGAAUCAUGCGGACGCAGAAGCAGAGCCUCACAGCAGGACUGGGGGUCUCCUGCUCACCCUGCUGGUGCUUUGUUGGGGCAGUGUCCCCAAAUUGCCCUGCUCUGCAGCUCUGGAAAGCAAGCUUCUAAUUGGGAGCUCUGUGAUUUGCCUUUAAAUAGUAGAAGUUGAGCCACUGGUGUGACUGAGGCAGGACACUGAAGCAAAGUGCUCAGCGGGCAGAGCCAUCCAUCCCUGGUGGGCGAGAAAUGAGCGCUGCUGGUGGCAGCCAGAGGAGUGCUGGGGCACUGCUGAGCGGGAGCGAUCUGGGUGAGUAUCUGCAUACAGUGAUUAAAAUAGAUCAAGAAAGUAUGUCUGGGGCCUCUUCCAAAGCUAACGGAAGCCUGUGGGAAAGAGUCUUUCUCUCAGAAUUCUAUGGCAUUGGAUCCAAACCCUGGAAAUACAUCACAGGAUAAUUUGGUUUAGUGGAAGGAGUGGAGAGAUCUAACAAACGGGCAGUUGGGAGCGCGGUGGGGUUUGAGGUGAUGCAGUGAGUGCCUGGCUCACCCAGACCCACCGCUCGGUAAUGUUAAUCCGUCUCUGUGGGCAUCUCUUCCCGGUACGGACAGCAGUGACUGAGAAAUCUCUCUCCCUCACUUCUAUCAGUGUGUCAGCUGCAUUCUCCCCUGCUCUUUCUCUGUGUCUGCAACACACAGAGCACCUGCGACGUCAGCUGGGGUCCCUGUGCUGCUUCAUAACACACCAUAAGGAAAAAAUGUCACAGAUGAAGGCCAGGCAGGCCUCAUUACUGUGACGGUGUAUCAGAUGCCACCAGAGCAAGGGGAACAAACAAGCUUUGUACGGAAUCAGUCUGUUGCAUACCCGCCUCAUUUUUAUGAAUAAUGGGUACGUUCUCAUAGUGUAGCAUGGUAAUUACCUUUUUUUGACUUACUAUAAAGGCUGAAGUAUGUCUGCUGAUGCUGCUUUAUCUGUUCAUUUCAAAUCAAUGGUACUGUGAAAUACAACUUCACAUAACU
RNAcentral lists this long non-coding RNA (1374 nucleotides) under Gallus gallus (chicken). RNAcentral's name for it is "lncRNA (ENSGALG00010016294.1)". Lineage: Eukaryota; Metazoa; Chordata; Aves; Galliformes; Phasianidae. The record is from RNAcentral.